GCACUAUUUUGCUGAUGUUGCAAGUCGCACGAUGAUCCCAGCUUGCUGGGGGAUUAGUGGCGAACGGCUGAGUAACACGUGAGUAACCUGCCCUUGACUCUGGGAUAAGCCUGGGAAACUGGGUCUAAUACCGUAUAUGACCGUCUGACGCAUGUCAGGUGGUGGAAAGCUUUUGUGGUUUUGGAUGGACUCGCGGCCUAUCAGCUUGUUGGUGGGGUAAUGGCCUACCAAGGCGACGACGGGUAGCCGGCCUGAGAGGGUGACCGGCCACACUGGGACUGAGACACGGCCCAGACUCCUACGGGAGGCAGCAGUGGGGAAUAUUGCACAAUGGGCGCAAGCCUGAUGCAGCGACGCCGCGUGAGGGAUGACGGCCUUCGGGUUGUAAACCUCUUUCAGUAGGGAAGAAGCGAAAGUGACGGUACCUGCAGAAGAAGCGCCGGCUAACUACGUGCCAGCAGCCGCGGUAAUACGUAGGGCGCAAGCGUUAUCCGGAAUUAUUGGGCGUAAAGAGCUCUUAUGCGGUUUGUCGCGUCUGCUGUGAGAGACCGGGGCUCAACUCCGGUUCUGCAGUGGGUGCGGGCGCCCCCCAAUGAUGUUUGGGAGAUUAUUGUUGCCGGUGUCCCCCCCGAGGG
This 635-nucleotide ribosomal RNA is filed under the name Arthrobacter sp. YIM 90835. RNAcentral describes it as "bacterial SSU rRNA". It matches the Rfam family "Bacterial small subunit ribosomal RNA", at positions 42 to 688 of the family's 1533-position model. The record is from RNAcentral. Lineage: Bacteria; Bacillati; Actinomycetota; Actinomycetes; Micrococcales; Micrococcaceae.